RNAcentral lists this ribosomal RNA (462 nucleotides) under uncultured bacterium. Its description in RNAcentral is "partial 16S ribosomal RNA". It matches the Rfam family "Bacterial small subunit ribosomal RNA", at positions 29 to 507 of the family's 1533-position model. The record is from RNAcentral.
AGUGAACGCUGGCGGCGUGCCUAGUACAUGCAAGUCGAACGGAGAUUAAGUAGCUUGCUAUUUAAUCUUAGUGGCGCACGGGUGAGUAAUAUAUAGCUAACUUGCCCAUUACUAAGGGACAACAGUUGGAAACGACUGCUAAUACCUUAUACUCCGUAUCUAUAUAAGUAGAUACGGGAAAGUUUUUCGGUAAUGGAUAGGGCUAUAUCGUAUCAGCUAGUUGGUAAGGUAAUGGCUUACCAAGGCUAUGACGCGUAACUGGUCUGAGAGGAUGAUCAGUCACACUGGAACUGAGACACGGUCCAGACUCCUACGGGAGGCAGCAGUAGGGAAUAUUGCUCAAUGGGGGAAACCCUGAAGCAGCAACGCCGCGUGGAGGAUGACACUUUUCGGAGCGUAAACUCCUUUUCUUGGGAAAGAAUUAUGACGGUACCCAAGGAAUAAGCACCGGCUAACUCCGUG